GUGAUAGUUUGGUAGAAGAGAUAUUUGGGAUCAGAGGAUUUCUUCAGUGGUACCCUUCACAUCCAAAGAAUUUCAAACACUUCAAACUGCCAAGGAGAUUCAGGACAUAAAAAAAAGGAAGAAGAAUCAUUACACAGUCAUCUGAUAUAACAACCACAUGAAGAAAUGAUGAUU
RNAcentral lists this long non-coding RNA (174 nucleotides) under Monodelphis domestica (gray short-tailed opossum). Its description in RNAcentral is "lncRNA (ENSMODG00000042925.1)". Lineage: Eukaryota; Metazoa; Chordata; Mammalia; Didelphimorphia; Didelphidae. The record is from RNAcentral.